UACCAUUAUAUGGAUAGAUCCGGGUAUCUACUGUAAUUACCAUUAUCUUCAAAGGUUUUAUGGUAAUUUUGCAUUUUCACGAUUUAAAUAAAAAAAAGAAAACAAAAUGUUUCUUUGUCUUCUCCGACGAUUCUAGGUUUUCACUUUCAAUUCGAGACUACGACAAACUUGAGCACGAGAAGUCUGCUGUUGGAGAGUAUCUCAGGUUCUUAAACACAGCAGGAAAGGACGAUUUAAAGAAGCUAAAGGUGAGAUGAGUACAUAACUCUGGUUUAAGGGGUAGUUGGAGAAAAGCAAGUUACUUACAUAGUUGAGUUAACGGUCUGGUCUGUGCUAGUUUAGAUCCAUGUAAUGAAUUUAGACUAGUAUACACAAAAAAUUAGGCAGAACUUUGUUUGGUGCUGCUUUAGAUGUUGACUUUUGGUGAAGUUGUACGUUUCUAUACAGUAGGAUACAAUUGGAUGUACUAAGACCGAUAUACCACAAUUUUUGUAAUGUAAAAAGCUUCUUAUAAACAACACUUUAACACC
Molecule: long non-coding RNA, 530 nt
Organism: Brassica napus (rape)
Lineage: Eukaryota; Viridiplantae; Streptophyta; Magnoliopsida; Brassicales; Brassicaceae
Exons: 3
Source: RefSeq, a predicted model, not a curated record